Long non-coding RNA from Dreissena polymorpha, 365 nucleotides. RefSeq lists it as uncharacterized. NCBI's taxonomy places the organism in Eukaryota, Metazoa, Mollusca, Bivalvia, Myida, Dreissenidae. The transcript has 3 exons. The record is from RefSeq and is a predicted model, not a curated record.
AAAUUACCACUAUGUAGUUGCACCAAACGUUAUUCGCCUGGACAGUGAAGAAACAUUCCUGGUUGGCAUAUUAGGCAGUAACCGAGCUCGACGACUUGAUAUAUAGUUCGAGUAUCUAGAGCAACAAUUGCUGCGGAAGUCAGUCACGAUAUCAAACCCGGAAACCCCAGUUCUGGUCACUUUUAAAGUCACCGCAAAUGACCUCUUCGCAAAUGUAGAAGAUGAAAGUAAAACACGAAAUAAGCCGAAAACAAUCCGGCUUGUAUGUCAAGAAUCCUAUAACAAGAAGAGCCAGGAUAUUUCUCUCAGUUUCAACUCCGGAUAUCUGAUCGUGCAGACUGAUAAGCCAUUGUACAACCCAACGC